UGGGGAAUAUUGGACAAUGGGCGAAAGCCUGAUCCAGCCAUGCCGCGUGAGUGACGAAGGCCUUAGGGUUGUAAAGCCCUUUUGGCGGGGAAGAUAAUGACGGUACCCGCAGAAUAAGCUCCGGCUAACUUCGUGCCAGCAGCCGCGGUAAUACGAAGGGAGCUAGCGUUGUUCGGAAUCACUGGGCGUAAAGCGCACGUAGGCGGAUUGUUUAGUCAGGGGUGAAAUCCCGGGGCUCAACCUCGGAACUGCCUUUGAUACUGGCAAUCUCGAGUCCGAUAGAGGUGGGUGGAAUUCCUAGUGUAGAGGUGAAAUUCGUAGAUAUUAGGAAGAACACCGGUGGCGAAGGCGGCCCACUGGAUCGGUACUGACGCUGAGGUGCGAAAGCGUGGGGAGCAAACAGGAUUAGAUACCCCCGUAGUCCCUGAGCGGGCUGGCAAGGCG
This 444-nucleotide ribosomal RNA is filed under the name uncultured bacterium. RNAcentral's name for it is "bacterial SSU rRNA". It matches the Rfam family "Bacterial small subunit ribosomal RNA", at positions 355 to 822 of the family's 1533-position model. The record is from RNAcentral.